UAUGGUUGUGUGCCAGCAGCCGCGGUAAUACGUAGGGGGCAAGCGUUAUCCGGAUUUACUGGGUGUAAAGGGAGCGUAGACGGACUGGCAAGUCUGAUGUGAAAGGCGGGGGCUCAACCCCUGGACUGCAUUGGAAACUGUUAGUCUUGAGUGCCGGAGAGGUAAGCGGAAUUCCUAGUGUAGCGGUGAAAUGCGUAGAUAUUAGGAGGAACACCAGUGGCGAAGGCGGCUUACUGGACGGUAACUGACGUUGAGGCUCGAAAGCGUGGGGAGCAAACAGG
Molecule: ribosomal RNA, 281 nt
Filed under: Blautia obeum
Lineage: Bacteria; Bacillati; Bacillota; Clostridia; Lachnospirales; Lachnospiraceae
Description: partial 16S ribosomal RNA
Rfam family: Bacterial small subunit ribosomal RNA
Source: RNAcentral